GAAGAUUUUGUUUCUGAUCACAACGCAUCCCAUAAAAUCAGCAUUGUCGAUUGCAACAAAAUCAUUUGCAGAUUUAAGUCAAGGACCUUCUUCUUCUAACAAAAAAACCCAAGCUUCUUCAACGCACCACCGUCCACCGCCAUCUCCUCUCCACUAUGUCUGUUAUCUUCUCCAUUUUGCCAUACCACCGCUUUCCCAGCACACCUUUACCAUAUAUGUCAUAUGGUUCCUAUUCCUCUUCCUCUCAAUCUAUUUUCCGCUCCUUCAUCUUUCUCUCUCUCUCUCUCUCUCUCUCUCUCUCUCUCCAUCAGAAAGUUUUUCUCUCUAAUUAAUGUAAAAAAAAUCAGUACAGAGAUGACGAAUCAGUGGCUCAUUUUCACGGGUUAAAUUGAAGCUACAAGAUUAGGGUUAUAUGUUACGGUCAAAAUGAAAAGUGGUGAGCCAGUUGAUGGUUGUGCAAUAGUUUGGCGUUCAUCAAGGCAUCCCUUCAUUAUACCUUAACUAUCAAAUCGGUUGUGAGAUUUAGGCUUUUAUACUACAUUCAAGCUUCUACAUGAGCAAACCAUUGAGUACAAUAAGCUUGGACUUCGGGAUAAUCUGGUUCAGACCUGUGUUAUACAUGUGUGUUUGUACUGUGCUUCAAUAAAGUGUUAAAAACUCACACAAUACAUAUUAAUGUUCAUUAUUUCACUAAAUGUUAUUCUUACUUUGAACACUCACUAAAUGGAAAAGGAAAAGAAAGAGUUUGUUAAGUAUGAAUAUUACAUCAUCCGGUUGGUUUACCUCAAAUUAUUUGUUCUUGUGAUCACAUCAACACAUUUUAUUUUGUUAAUUUGAUACUAACUUUUUUUUAUAAUUUCAGAAUGACCCAUAAAAGCUUGGCUUAUCUGAUGUGUUUUGGAUUUACUAGGGCAGUAGUUUUCCAGAAAACCUUCUGAACUAGAGCAAUGUGUGCGAGUGGCAUCCUACUUCGUAUUAAAUGAUCUGGAGAUCUACUCGAUAAUUUCUUCCACUAUCAAUAACUUUUAGCAUUUUCUUUCAACCUUUGAUGUUUUGGUUAUCAUCUUCAAUCACAUUACUCAGUUAAUUAAUAAUUUUUUGAAAAUAAUUGAUUAAUAAUCAUGAUUUUUAACUAUCAAAAAUUAUUUUAUUUUGUAACCGUGGUUCCCACGGGUUAUAACGUAAUACACUUAUAUGCAUUUAGUAAUAAUAUAACAAACAUCUUUUCCCUAAUAAAUGAAAGUUUUUUUUGACACAUGUCAUAUUGUCAUUCAAUUUGCCACAUGUCAUUUUGUGAUUAUUUUAAAUUAAUUUCAUUUCCACAUGUUAUUUUAUGGAUUUUCCUAUUUUAAUAAAUUACACAUUAAUACUUUAAUGUAAUAAUUGCAAUAAAUAUAAUAAUAAAUGAAUAUCAAUUUCAUUAAUGGACAUACCUUCUUAUUUCAAAAUUCCCAUAUUAAAACCCAUUAGUUUAUUUUUUUAUAAAUUUAAAUUUAAAAGAUAAAAAAAUCAAUUUUAAUAAUUCAUUAUUUUUCU
Lactuca sativa (garden lettuce) is the source of this 1536-nucleotide non-coding RNA. NCBI's taxonomy places the organism in Eukaryota, Viridiplantae, Streptophyta, Magnoliopsida, Asterales, Asteraceae. The record is from RefSeq and is a predicted model, not a curated record.